RNAcentral lists this non-coding RNA (164 nucleotides) under chicken gut metagenome. RNAcentral describes it as "Lysine riboswitch". It matches the Rfam family "Lysine riboswitch aptamer". From Rfam's summary of the family: Riboswitches are metabolite binding domains within certain messenger RNAs that serve as precision sensors for their corresponding targets. Allosteric rearrangement of mRNA structure is mediated by ligand binding, and this results in modulation of gene expression. This family includes riboswitches that sense lysine in a number of genes involved in lysine metabolism, including lysC. The record is from RNAcentral.
AGAUAGAGGUGCGGAUCUCAUCAGUAUCCUCCGGGAGGCGCCAGAACGUCUGAGAACUGGGGAGAAAGGGUGUUCCGCCGAAACGGUGAACCGGUCUGGCUGUUCCCCGUUGGUUGCCGGCAGAAGAUGCCGCCGACUGUCACUUUGUGUGGAGCGCUAUCGGU